CCCUUAGAUGUUCUGGGCCGCACGCGUGCUACACUGAGUGGAUCAGCGGGUCAGGUUACGCGAGAGCGUUUCCUAAUCUUCAAAUCCGCUCGUGAUGGGGAUUGACGGUUGCAAUUUUCCGUCAUGAACGAGGAAUACCUUGUAAGCGCGGGUCAUCAUCCCGCGCUGAAUACGUCCCUGCCCUUUGUACACACCGCCCGUCGCUCCUACCGAUUGAGUGGUCCGGUGAGGCUUUGGGAUCUAAGCGAAAAGAGCGUUUCGCUCCUUUUGCUGGGAGAACUCAGCCGAACCUUAUCAUUUAGAGGAAGGAGAAGUCGUAACA
Molecule: ribosomal RNA, 322 nt
Filed under: uncultured eukaryote
Lineage: Eukaryota
Description: partial 18S ribosomal RNA
Rfam family: Eukaryotic small subunit ribosomal RNA
Source: RNAcentral